GUGUAUGGUCCCUGCUCUUAAGAUGCUUAAAGUGAGGGAGACAGUCAUGAAACAUUAACUGUAAUUCUAACUUGCGACAGAUGCUAUGAAGGAAAUCCCCAGAGUACCACGGUGGAAAUUAAUUGGAGGGAGAAAGCAUCCUGCUAUUGAUUGGGUGGUCAGGCACACAAUCAGAUCCAAGGUACCUCUGAGGUAAUAAUGAAACUGAGACCUAACAAUGAGAAGAAACCAGUCAUGUGAACACUAAGAAAAAAAAAAAAAAGAAAUUCACAUAGAAUAUAGAAUACUGUGGGUCCAGAACCCAGGAUGGAAGAGAACCAGCAGGUUAGAGGAAGUGAAGGAAGGCUGGCGCCUCAUGAAUGAGUGAGUGAAUGGCAGAAUGGCAUCAGGUAGCACUUGAGAGUUGGUCUGCUCUCAACCACACCAUGCAGAAGGAAGACAAGGAGGUUGACUGAAUUUCAUUCUAAUGUAAAAAGAAGCCCUUAAAGGACUUUGAGGUCAUGAUAAGUCCCACAGGGGCCUGGAACAACUACAGCAGCGGUGAAGAGAGAGAGAAGGACAGGAUCUAAUAGACAGAAAUAACAGGAUUUGGUGACCAACUGCAACUGAGUAAUGAAAGAGAAGCUGGAGGGGCCACCCGCAGUGGGCACACUUAACUUCCAACUUCGGCUCAGGUUAUGAUCUCACCAUUGGAAAAUCUCUAGGUGUGUCUUAAUGGAGAAAAAAAGAAAGCAUGUUAAGUGGAAGAUAUUUCCAACAACAAUAAAGGAGAGAUCUUAAAUCAGAAGUUUUCAAAGUGCCUGCUUCCUACAGGGGCAUGCUGGGCCUAGGACACGAUUGGAUCCUACCUUCACCCGUUUCAGCAGGAUACUGCAGCUUGAUUCUGAUUAGAAGUUGAGCUGAAUCCUGACUGCCUAGAAGACUGUCG
Molecule: long non-coding RNA, 928 nt
Organism: Felis catus (domestic cat)
Lineage: Eukaryota; Metazoa; Chordata; Mammalia; Carnivora; Felidae
Exons: 4
Source: RefSeq, a predicted model, not a curated record